GAUGAACGCUGGCGGCGUGCCUAAUACAUGCAAGUCGAGCGAACAGACGAGGAGCUUGCUCCUCUGACGUUAGCGGCGGACGGGUGAGUAACACGUGGAUAACCUACCUAUAAGACUGGGAUAACUUCGGGAAACCGGAGCUAAUACCGGAUAAUAUAUUGAACCGCAUGGUUCAAUAGUGAAAGACGGUUUUGCUGUCACUUAUAGAUGGAUCCGCGCCGCAUUAGCUAGUUGGUAAGGUAACGGCUUACCAAGGCAACGAUGCGUAGCCGACCUGAGAGGGGGAUCGGCCACACUAGAACUGAGACAGGGUCCAGACUCCUAAGGGAGGCAGCAGUAGGGAAUGUUCCGCAAUGGGCGGAAGCCUGACGGAGCAACGCCAAGUGAGUGAUGAAGGUCUUCGGAUCGUAAAACUGUGUUAUUAGGGAAGAACAAAUGUGUAAGGAACUAUGCACGUCUUGACGGUACCGAAUAAGAAAGCCACGGCUAACUACGUG
Molecule: ribosomal RNA, 497 nt
Filed under: uncultured bacterium
Lineage: Bacteria
Description: partial 16S ribosomal RNA
Rfam family: Bacterial small subunit ribosomal RNA
Source: RNAcentral